Molecule: long non-coding RNA, 1714 nt
Organism: Leopardus geoffroyi (Geoffroy's cat)
Lineage: Eukaryota; Metazoa; Chordata; Mammalia; Carnivora; Felidae
Exons: 3
Source: RefSeq, a predicted model, not a curated record
CACUAGUUAAUUCUCCAAACAGAAGCCAGAGGGAAUCUGUUAAAUCAGGAGAGGAGUCUGUGCCAUUCAGGGGGAAUGUUUCUCUCCAAUACAGCAGAUCCUCAAGGCAGAAAAAGGGUAAGGAUGUUUCCUAAUUCCCAGUGGAGUGGUGAGGAUUCCCUGAGAUCGUGUCUAUACCAGCCUGGGAAAAUAACAAAGCAACGACAGCAAUGACUUCCCUCCCUGGUGGCGACCACUGUUUUUCAGCCUUUUCCACAAAGUACCCCGUUGAAUACAAAGGACUCAAUUCAUGGUGGUGAUUUCCAAAGUAGGACAAAUGACUUCACUUUAAUCCUGUUUGCCUCUUCUGUAAAGUGGGCUCUAUAACCCCCUCCGUCAAUGAGCUGUAUCAGUGGGGUUGUGCUGAAAAGGUGUCUGGCCCUUGUAGGUGCUUGCUAAAUGGUAGCCCCUGUUUGGGUGCGGUAAUAGGGAGUCGCUGAAGGUUCCUGGGGAGGGAAGUAGCUUUGAUGUCAUGAACGCACACCCCAGCUCCCCAGAUGCUCGCACCUGAGGCUUAGUUGCAGGAUCUAGUUUGUUGGAGAACUGUCUCAUUUGGAAACCCGAAUUUAUUUGUGCCAAUAUUUCAUUAUUAUCCACGUCGUCUGCUGGUCUUCAGUUCCAUGAGGCUGGUGCCCAGGUGGUGUCACUCAUCACUCUGCUCCUAGCAUCCAGGCCUGGGUGGUGCAGAGACAAUCAAACAGAUGACCUUUGUUGAAUGCCUACUAUGUGCCAGGCACUGUUCCAAGGGCUCAGCCAAUAUGUGUUAAAUCUUUCACAAGGGGGGAAUUCUCCACAGCUCUGAGUCAGUUAUCUCCUUUCCUAGACCCUCAACCUCCAUCCUUCUGGCUUCCCUCCCUCCUGCCUGCUCCUGCCUGGUGUUUCCAUCACACCAGGGCAUGACCUUCCCUCCCAAAGCCUCCGUUUGUUGCCCUGGAAAACCAGGAUGAUCUCACCCCUCUUUUCCUGGCCUUACAGGCAUAAAGAUGCCUAAGUGGUCGAUGUCAUUGUUUGCAAAGGGCAAGAGAGAGCCACUGAAGGUGCUGGAGGAAGGCAGGAUGUCAACAGAAGGAAAGGGAAGGGGUUUAAAGACGAUUGGCUUGGACACACCCUUCCCCCUCUACUCCUUAAGACCCAAACAAAUGGGUAUGUGUGUGUGUGUGGGGGGGGGGAAACAUUAGAAAGUUUGCAGAAAAUGACACUCCCCCCCCAACCCCCAAUUCCUUGUGGUUUCUCAAACAUGCAGCACCAACCCACCUCACAGCAUUUGUCCCUGCUGUUCCCUCCACCCGGUUCUUCAUUCAGGUCAAAGGUCAUCUCACCAGAGGGUGACAUGCUCACUCAUCACAGCGCCAUGCGGUUUUCUCAGAAACCCUUACUGAUAUCUGGCGCUCUACAGCAGGUCGGUUUAUUAUCUGGACCAGCUCUGUCCCGAGACAACUUCUUGCAAUGAUAGAAUGUUCUAGAUCUGUGCUGUCCAACAGGGCAGACCCAGCCGCCCGCCACACGGGGCUCCUGAACACUGAGGAACUGAACUUGUAUCCGUUCUUAACUGUUUUAUUUCAAAUGUAUUUACUUGUUCUAAAUCUAAAUAGAAACAGCCAUGUGUGGCUGGUGGCUAGACUCUAUUGGGUGGUGCAGAUCUAGAAUCCCAGCUCCUCAUAGUGGGGGCACUGGU